GCCUGGGUGGCUCAGUCAGUUAAGCGUCUGACUUUGGCUCAGGAUACAAUCUCAGGGUUCGUGGGUACAAGCCCCGCAUCGGGCU
RNAcentral lists this transfer RNA (85 nucleotides) under Felis catus (domestic cat). It matches the Rfam family "tRNA". From Rfam's summary of the family: Transfer RNA (tRNA) molecules are approximately 80 nucleotides in length. Their secondary structure includes four short double-helical elements and three loops (D, anti-codon, and T loops). Further hydrogen bonds mediate the characteristic L-shaped molecular structure. tRNAs have two regions of fundamental functional importance: the anti-codon, which is responsible for specific mRNA codon recognition, and the 3' end, to which the tRNAs corresponding amino acid is attached (by aminoacyl-tRNA synthetases). tRNAs cope with the degeneracy of the genetic code in two manners: having more than one tRNA (with a specific anti-codon) for a particular amino acid; and 'wobble' base-pairing, i.e. permitting non-standard base-pairing at the 3rd anti-codon position. The record is from Rfam by way of RNAcentral. Lineage: Eukaryota; Metazoa; Chordata; Mammalia; Carnivora; Felidae.